RNAcentral lists this long non-coding RNA (2773 nucleotides) under Homo sapiens (human). RNAcentral describes it as "HSALNT0342739". The record is from RNAcentral. Lineage: Eukaryota; Metazoa; Chordata; Mammalia; Primates; Hominidae.
AUAAUAAAUAGCUGCAUAAAACAUAAGCAAACAUAUUGUCCCACAUCACUAACUGACUUUUCAAAGAGAACUCCUGGGAGAAAUUUCUCUCAAAUCUCCAUGCCAGAAAAAAAAAAAAAAGAGUUGUAUUUGUCCUUAGUAAUGGAAAUGUUUUUAUGCUAUGUCUUUGUGACUUCUGUAACUAUUAAGUGUCCAUUCCUGUUUUUACUGCAACAAAUGCAACCAAAAUUUGUGGUUCAUUUAUAGCUUACCUGUGAUUUUAUCUUAUUUUUUCCACCCCAAUUUUAUAAUAUCAUUUUAACCUCGUGUGUGUCUAUUAAAUAAGCUGUCUUAAAUUCUUUUUAGGAGAAUCUAUGAUAAAACAUAAUCAUAAUUUAAAGGCUGCAUUAUUAAUUUCCUGUGUAAGAGACUCUAAUGUUGUAUUAAGUGUUGCCUUUGCCAUCUAUGUCCAACAUUAAACCUAACUUCUCCAUCGUCUGCAGGAAUGUUUACAUUCCUGUUCACAAGCAAUUGUGAUCUAAGAGAUAUCAGUUAUAGAUAUGAAUCUACAAGUAUUGGAGUCUGCCUGUUGAGGUUCCAUUGAGUGUAAAUUCAAUCCUGUGGAUCUGGAAAAGAUUAUGGGAUAUAAACAGAUGGAACCAAGGGACAGAAGCCUGGGAAAAGUGAUCAGGCCUGGAGAUGCACAAGCAAGAUUUUGGAGUUUACACCAAAGUGAGAAUUAAUGAUUAAAUUAUGAACUUGGAGAGAAAAAUGAGAUUCUGAAGUUUGGGAUGGAGGAAAAUGGUAGAAAAGGAUCAGAGAGAGAGCCUGGGAAGAUGACAGUUUUUUUGAAGGCAGAAGUGGCAUCUCUUCUGAAAGAAAAGAUAGGAAUGAAUGAAGAGCUACCUUGCCAUGAAGAUUCAUUACCUUUUCUUUGCUCUUUUCUUCCUUGGCCAGCUGUCUACCUCAGUUUAUCUUCUUCAGCAAGUUCUUCUUUCAGUUCAGAAUAUCCUCAAGCAGGAUGAGCCUGGAGAAAAACUGUGAAAUUAUUGGAGUUUACCUUUAAAACCAUAAAAUGAUAAGGGCCUGAUAGGGUUAAGAAUCAAAAGAAAGGAAUGGUGGGCCAGGCACGGUGGCUCACACCUGUAAUCCCAACAAUUUGGGAGGCCAAGGUGGGCAGAUCACAAGGUCAGGAGUUCAAGACCAGCCUGACCAACACGGUGAAACCCCGUCACUACUGAAAAUACAAAAACUAGCCUCAGUCGUGGUGGUGCAUGCCUGUAAUUCCACUACUCAGGAGGCUGAGGCAGGAGAAUCACUUGAACUUGGGAGGCAGAGGUUGCAGUGACCUGAGAUUGUGCCACUGCACUCUAGCCUGGGCGACAGAGCAAGACUUCGUCUCAAAAAAAAAAAAAAAAAAAAAAGAAAGGAAUGGUGGAAAGAGAUAAUGUAAGGAAGAUGAAAAACACUGAUGGUAUAAAGGAGAGAAGACAGAGGAGGAGCCAGUGAUGGAAUGAUGGCACAGAAGGAGUUUGUGAGGGAUUUAGAAAGUGGUGGUGCUGUUAAUAGAAAUGUGAAUGCAGGGAAGAGGAGCUGAUUGAGAUGAAGCCAGUGAAAAUGAUUUUAGAAAUUGUUACCUUGAAGUGACAGCAAGACUUCUAACUGGAGAUAAUGCAGUAGAGAUAUGAGACUAGGAAGAAGCUUGUGGCUGAUGAUAAACAUUGUGGGAUCCUUCCAAAAAAAGGACAGCCCUGAAGUUAUGUGAAUAAUUUACUACCUCAAGGGCAAUUCUCCCUGUCUCCUUUCUCUUUCUCUUGGGCCUGUUCUGGACAUCUUGGUAAUAAGUGUCUGUAUUAGUGGAGGACAAGGGCAACACAGAAAACAUCCACUCUCUUUUCUUCCUUUUUUCUCCUCUCUCUUCUCACCUUCCUUACUCUUCUCCCCUCUACCUUUUGGUUUUUUCUUGUUCCUGAACAUAUAAGGAAGCUUACAAAUUACAUACAAUGCAUGGGUUUUUUAAAAGCGAAAUAAUUAGUAAGAAGAUUCAGGCAGAGGAAAAUCAGCUUAGAAAAAAGUAAUUUGCAAGAGUGAUGAUGUUGUUUUCUAAAAUGGCCCUGGGUGAGGUAACUGAAAGUGGAGGGUAGUAGAAGUCCUUGACGUGGAUUUCAGAUAGGAAUGGAGUGGUAUAUAUUGCCUCCUGAGAAACUGUGCCUAAGAUUUAUACCCCAGCGGCCCUCACCUGCCUGCAAUGGCAGAACAUCCAGCAUGUAUGAUGUUCAGUACUGAUCUUCUAGAAAGCCUAGCAUUGGGCUCUCUCGGGAUUGUCCAAUAAUGCUAGGCUUAUACAGUCCAAAGGGAGGUCAACUGUUUUUCUGCACCAAGUGAGGUGUACCUGCAGGCCCUGUCAGUCCCUUCUGAAAUAUAUUUUUUAAUCUGAUUGAAAACUAUUUUGCUACCAUGGGCCAUUCUCAUCAAUAUUUUCCCACAAAGCUUUAUAUUUGAAGUCUAUUGCAAGUAAGUAUAUCCUUGUUUUUGUUCAUCUAUCUGUUUAUUUUUAGGAACUGAAGAUGCUUAUGAAGUCAUUAGUAUCAUGGACUGUAAAAAUCAAACACUGUGUAAUUCUCAGAAUACAACUAGACACUGCUCUCAUGGGAAGGAGAUUGAACUAUGUGUCUUGCGUCUUGGAAAAAAUGCAAAGCGACUCACUAACCAUGAAGAAACAGCAAAUUAGGAAGACAGGAUGAUCAAUUUCCUUGUCUUAUUAAAAAAUAAAGUCUGCUUUCUUUUCUCUCUC